AAUGGAAUUGCUGGGUGAAAUAGUAGCUCUGUUUAACAUUUCUUGAGAAUUUCUAGACUGUUUUCCAAAGUGGCUGCACCAUUUUGGACUCCCACCAGCAGU
Molecule: microRNA precursor, 102 nt
Filed under: Marmota monax (woodchuck)
Lineage: Eukaryota; Metazoa; Chordata; Mammalia; Rodentia; Sciuridae
Source: RNAcentral